Hordeum vulgare subsp. vulgare (domesticated barley) is the source of this 2648-nucleotide RNA transcript. It is a transcript of the gene named boron transporter 4-like, with no coding region annotated. The record is from RefSeq and is a predicted model, not a curated record. The transcript has 15 exons. NCBI's taxonomy places the organism in Eukaryota, Viridiplantae, Streptophyta, Magnoliopsida, Poales, Poaceae.
CGCCGACGAGGGCCCGGCAUUGCCGAUCGCAGCCGUGCGCCGCGUCCUUAGCCGUCGCCGCCGCCGCCGCGACUUCACCGCUAGCUGAUGGAUCUACUAGGGAACCCUUUCAAGGGAGUCGUCGCGGAUGUCAAAGGGAGAGCAUCUUGGUACAAGGACGAUUGGGUUGCAGGGCUCCGAACUGGCUUCAGGAUAUUGGCACCUACCAUGUAUAUUUUCUUUGCCUCUGCACUCCCUGUAAUCUCCUUCGGAGAGCAGCUGAGCAACGAAACAGAUGGUAUCGUAAGCACUGUUGAAACUUUGGCGUCUACGGCGAUAUGUGGGAUAAUACACUCGAUUCUUGGAGGGCAGCCACUGUUGAUCGUUGGAGUCGCAGAACCUACUAUUAUCAUGUAUACGUAUCUCUACAAGUUUGCCAAGAAGCAGCCAGAUCUGGGAGAACGGCUAUAUUUGGCUUGGGCUGGAUGGGUCUGCAUUUGGACUGCUAUCAUGCUGUUUCUUUUGGCAAUGUUCAAUGCUUCCAAUGUUAUAAGCAGAUUCACGAGGGUUGCAGGAGAGCUUUUUGGUAUGUUGAUCACUGUCCUGUUCCUGCAGCAAGCUAUCAAGGGAAUUGUAAGUGAGUUCAGUGUGCCGAAAGAUGAUGAGAUUUCUGACCCCAGCUCACCUAUAUACCAGUUCCAGUGGAUUUAUGUCAAUGGCCUACUUGGUGUUAUAUUUUCCAUUGGCUUGCUGUACACUGCACUGAAGACUAGGCGUGCAAGGUCAUGGCUGUAUGGCGUAGGAUGGCUUAGAAGCUUCAUUGCCGAUUACGGUGUACCGCUGAUGGUGAUUGUGUGGACAGCAUUGUCAUUUACACUACCAAGCAAAGUCCCUUCAGGAGUGCCUAGGAGGCUCUUCAGUCCACUUCCCUGGGAGUCAAUCUCACUGAGACAUUGGACCGUAGCAAAGGAUUUGUUUUCUGUCCCUCCAACAUAUAUAUUUGCAGCCAUCGUGCCUGCUUUGAUGGUCGCAGGACUUUAUUUCUUUGACCACAGUGUAGCUUCACAGUUGGCUCAGCAGAAGGAGUUUAAUUUGAAGAAGGCUUCUGCCUACCAUUAUGACAUUUUGGUACUUGGAUUCAUGGUCCUACUAUGUGGUUUGCUUGGCAUUCCCCCAUCAAAUGGAGUACUUCCUCAGUCCCCCAUGCAUACAAGAAGCCUUGCUGUCCUCAAGGGGCAGCUGCUACGCAGAAAGAUGCUUCAAACUGCCAAAGAGGGCAUGUCAAACCGUGCGAGCAGUUUGGAAAUCUAUGGCAAGAUGCAGGAAGUGUUCAUCCAAAUGGAUAGCAACCAGAAUGCUAAUUCUGUUGACAAGGACUUGAAGAGCUUGAAGGAUGCUGUGCUGCGGGAAGGUGACGAAGAAGGGAAAUUGGCUGGAGAAUUUGAUCCUAGCAAACACAUUGAAGCACAUUUGCCUGUUCGUGUGAACGAACAGAGGCUAAGCAACCUGCUGCAAUCCUUACUUGUUGGUGGCUGUGUUGGAGCUAUGCCGGCUAUCAAGAUGAUACCGACUUCGGUCCUCUGGGGUUACUUUGCCUACAUGGCCAUUGAUAGCCUACCUGGGAACCAGUUUUGGGAAAGGUUACAGCUUCUGUGCAUUGGAGCAAGCCGACGCUACAAGGUCUUGGAAGGCCCCCAUGCAUCUUUCGUGGAGGCGGUGCCUUCAAGAACAAUAUCUGCCUUUACGGUCUUCCAGUUUGUGUAUCUCUUGAUAUGCUUCGGUAUAACAUGGAUACCAGUAGCAGGGAUCCUCUUCCCGCUGCCUUUCUUCAUUAUGAUUCUCAUCAGGCAACACCUACUCCCAAAGUUCUUUGAGCCCAAUGACUUGCGAGAACUGGAUGCAGCUGAGUAUGAAGAACUUGAAGGCGUCCCACAUGAACAAACACUGGAGGAAGAUGGCUCAAAUUCAGGAAGCCAUGACAGCAUAGACGACGCUGAAAUGUUGGAUGAACUCACGACAAACCGUGGAGAGCUGAAGCACAGAUCUGCAAGCCAUCCUGAAGAAAGGCACCUUCAGGUCCAGCCAACAGAUUGAACUUGUGAGCUGUUUUUUUCUUUUUUUACGGAAGAACAAGUACCGCGCAUACCAGUAGAUGGUUCUUUUGUGCCUGUUAUGGGCAGAUUUCACGGGCGCAAAUUCAUAAAUGUUCCCGUCGUCCAUUCAAAUGCAGUUCAGCCGAGCGUGUGAAGAUGGAAAAACGUCCCGAUGUCCGAGGCUUUGAUGACGAUUCUGUCAGAAGUGUAGAUUAUCCUGAAGCCAUUGUUCAUUUCCGAAUACGCCAUUGUUCAGCAAUGUGCAUUGUACUGUAGCUAGCGCUUUUCCGGUAAGGCGUGAUCGUGUACGCUAGGAAGUAAAGCUCAGGUAAUUAGCAGUGAGAUCAGACUGAAGAAAGUGUAUUGGAUAUGGCAGGGGAACUUGGCAGAAUAGUAUUAGUAAUGGUUAGAAGUAGAAAGACUGUUGCUCCGUGACCUGUUAUUGCAAGACUGUUGCUCUGUGACCUGUUGCCUGUGUAAAGUCCAGCUUUCUGUGUCUGAAUGUAAAAUGCCAGGCAUAAGAAUUUCUUGAGAACCAGUGAAUCUAUUCUGCCGCGUGUUCUGGCUGCAUUUUGA